This 441-nucleotide ribosomal RNA is filed under the name uncultured bacterium. RNAcentral's name for it is "bacterial SSU rRNA". It matches the Rfam family "Bacterial small subunit ribosomal RNA", at positions 340 to 773 of the family's 1533-position model. The record is from RNAcentral.
UACGGAAGGCAGCAGUGGGGAAUAUUGCACAAUGGGCGCAAGCCUGAUGCAGCCAUGCCGCGUGUAUGAAGAAGGCCUUCGGGUUGUAAAGUACUUUCAGUCGUGAGGAAGGUGUUAAGGUUAAUAACCUUAGCAAUUGACGUUAGCGACAGAAGAAGCACCGGCUAACUCCGUGCCAGCAGCCGCGGUAAUACGGAGGGUGCGAGCGUUAAUCGGAAUUACUGGGCGUAAAGGGCACGCAGGCGGUUAAUUAAGUUGGAUGUGAAAUCCCCGGGCUUAACCUGGGAAUGGCAUUCAAGACUGGUUAGCUAGAGUCUUGUAGAGGGGGUAGAAUUCCAUGUGUAGCGGUGAAAUGCGUAGAGAUGUGGAGGAAUACCGGUGGCGAAGGCGGCCCCCUGGACAAAGGACUGACGCUCAUGUGCGAAAGCGUGGGGAGCAAAC